UACGAACUGUGCGAACGUUAUUCGGAAUCACUGGGCUUACAGGGUGCGUAGGCGGCUCAACAAGUCAGGUGUGAAAGCCCCCGGCUCAACCGGGGAACUGCGCUUGAAACUGUUAGGCUCGAGUCAGCUAGAGGUACACGGAACUUCCAGUGGAGCGGUGAAAUGUGUUGAUAUUGGAAGGAACACCGGAGGCGAAAGCGGUGUACUGGGGCUGGUCUGACGCUGAGGCACGAAAGCUAGGGUAGCAAACGGG
RNAcentral lists this ribosomal RNA (253 nucleotides) under uncultured bacterium. Its description in RNAcentral is "partial 16S ribosomal RNA". It matches the Rfam family "Bacterial small subunit ribosomal RNA", at positions 524 to 776 of the family's 1533-position model. The record is from RNAcentral.